This is a long non-coding RNA of Phyllostomus hastatus (greater spear-nosed bat), 699 nucleotides long. RefSeq lists it as uncharacterized. NCBI's taxonomy places the organism in Eukaryota, Metazoa, Chordata, Mammalia, Chiroptera, Phyllostomidae. The transcript has 5 exons. The record is from RefSeq and is a predicted model, not a curated record.
AUCAGCGCUGGGGACUGGCUGAAGCGUAGAUAAAAGCCCCAGCUGUGAUUUCUCGGGGUGUCAGUUUCACCUCCAGCAGUAAAGCAAACUGUCCUUGUGCCUGGGGGAAAUUACGGAGCCUCACACUUUCAUCCAGAGAGGGACAAAGGGGAGGUCAGGUGCUGCAUCUGACAGAAGUGGGGACGUGUGAAAUGUGAUUAACCCAGGAAGAAGCCAGACAGAGCCCGGCUGGGGCCUCCGCUGCCCCUGUGUGUUUCCCAGGGUCAGGAGCAGGAGUGUGCUUGGGCCGCAUUCAUUAUUGCAUUAGGAUUUGGUUUCCGCCAAACCAACCUUCCCUGGUUCCUCUGCUUGGACAACGUGUCUCUGGUUAGAGAUGUGUGCUGAAAACAGGAAAAAGGAGGGAGGCAAUUUUCAAGACAGGCACUGAUGCUUUAAAAGGAUUCUUCACAGGGCAUGAGAGAGCCAUACCUAGAAUGAAUUAUGGAUCCAUCCAGUGUCCCAUGCAUCCUGUAUGUCAAGUUUCCAGAAUCCACAUCCCUGGAAUCUCUGUGAGCCUGCUGCAAGAGCCAAGCCCAUGAUGACACCAUGUGAAAAGGGCAGAGCCCAUGGAGAGAGGUCCAAACCUACUACCUACUGGCUCCAUGAAAUCAACUGAGGUGCUAAACUUCUCAACGUUUUCAUUCCUCCAUUCUAUAAAUA